UGGGGAAUAUUGCACAAUGGAGGGAACUCUGAUGCAGCGACGCCGCGUGAGUGAUGAAGGAAUUCGUUUCGUAAAACUCUGUUCUAUGGGAAGAAAAGGACUGAACCAUAGGAGAAAGCUCCGGCUAAAUACGUGCCAGCAGCCGCGGUAAUACGUAUGGAGCGAGCGUUGUCCGGAAUUAUUGGGCGUAAAGGGUGCGCAGGCGGCUUUACAAGUUGGAUGUGAAAUAUUGUGGCUCAACCACAAACGUGCAUCCAAAACUGCAAAGCUUGAGUUAAGGAGAGGUAAGUGGAAUUCCUGGUGUAGCGGUGGAAUGCGUAGAUAUCAGGAGGAAUACCGGUGGCGAAGGCGACUUACUGGACUUAAACUGACGCUCAGGCACGAAAGCGUGGGGAGCAAACAGG
Molecule: ribosomal RNA, 404 nt
Filed under: Fusobacteriota bacterium
Lineage: Bacteria; Fusobacteriati; Fusobacteriota
Description: Fusobacteria bacterium partial 16S ribosomal RNA
Rfam family: Bacterial small subunit ribosomal RNA
Source: RNAcentral